AACGAACGCUGGCGGCAGGCCUAACACAUGCAAGUCGAGCGGACCCUUCGGGGUUAGCGGCGGACGGGUGAGUAACGCGUGGGAAUAUGCCCUUCUCUACGGAAUAGUCCUGGGAAACUGGGGGUAAUACCGUAUACGCCCUUUGGGGGAAAGAUUUAUCGGGGAAGGAUUAGCCCGCGUUGGAUUAGGUAGUUGGUGGGGUAAUGGCCUACCAAGCCGACGAUCCAUAGCUGGGUUGAGAGGAUGAUCAGCCACACUGGGACUGAGACACGGCCCAGACUCCUACGGGAGGCAGGAGUGGGGAAUCUUAGACAAUGGCGGCAACCCUGAUCGAGCCAUGCCGGGUGAGUGAUGAAGGCCUUAGGGUUGUAAAGCUCUUUCAGCUGGGAAGAUAAUGACGGUACCAGCAGAAGAAGCCCCGGCUAACUCCGUG
Molecule: ribosomal RNA, 433 nt
Filed under: uncultured bacterium
Lineage: Bacteria
Description: partial 16S ribosomal RNA
Rfam family: Bacterial small subunit ribosomal RNA
Source: RNAcentral